UACGUAGGGUGCGAGCGUUAAUCGGAAUUACUGGGCGUAAAGCGUGCGUAGGCGGUCCGCGAAGUCUGAUGUGAAAGCCCCGGGCUCAACCUGGGAACUGCAUUGGAAACUAACGGGCUCGAGUGUGGCAGAGGGGGGUGGAAUUCCACGUGUAGCAGUGAAAUGCGUAGAGAUGUGGAGGAACACCGAUGGCGAAGGCAGCCCCCUGGGCUAACACUGACGCUCAGGCACGAAAGUGUGGGGAUCAAACAGG
Molecule: ribosomal RNA, 253 nt
Filed under: uncultured bacterium
Lineage: Bacteria
Description: partial 16S ribosomal RNA
Rfam family: Bacterial small subunit ribosomal RNA
Source: RNAcentral